Cervus elaphus (red deer) is the source of this 743-nucleotide long non-coding RNA. RefSeq lists it as uncharacterized. The transcript is spliced from 2 exons. NCBI's taxonomy places the organism in Eukaryota, Metazoa, Chordata, Mammalia, Artiodactyla, Cervidae. The record is from RefSeq and is a predicted model, not a curated record.
GUUUCUGCAGCUCACAGAGAGAAUAAUUGUCCUCUUUUUGGUGAUCACCAGUCAAGAAGAAGUCCAAGAGAAAUACGUGGUACACUUAUAGCAUGUUGUCAGUCAUUGGAAUAUCCUAUGCUGUCUUGACAUGGUUCAGUCAAACACUGUGGAUGCCAAUUUAUCCUCUGUGUGUUCUCGCUGAAGCAUUUACCAUCUAUCAGUCGCUGCCUUAUUUCGAAUCAUUUGGCACUUACUCCACAAAGAUGCCCUUUGACUUAUCCAUCUAUUUCCCAUAUGUGCUGAAAAUAUAUCUCAUGAUGCUCUUUGUAGGUAUGUAUUUCACCUACAGUCAUCUUUACUCAGAAAGACGAGACAUCCUCAGAGUGUCUCCCAAUAAGAAGAAAAUGUGAAGCAUGGCACUGGGAUGUGACGUGAGACAGAAGAGGCUUGUGGAGUCAGCUGCAGGAAACACAAUAUGGGAAGUGUUCUGGUGAACAGAUAUCUAGUAUUUGACAAAAAUCCAUAACAUGGAAUAAUUGCACUCCUCUCCAGAACUCUUGACAUACACAGCAGUCACACAUUUUUAGUUCACAUUUUUCUCACACAUUUUUAGUUCAUAUACUCUUCACAACCUGUUUUACCAAAGCCGUAAAUUUUACACAAGUUAAGUUUGUAUCAUGUGAAGCCUGAUUAUUUUCCUGUAAAGUUAAUGAGAAAUAGGAUUUUAACUGGAAUAGAUUCAAUUAAACCAAGAAACCAAA